GCAGUGUGCUAGAUGAUCGCUUGCCGGGGAGAGCCUGGCAAGAGGAAAGUCCGGGCAGCAUAGAACGGGACAGUCGCUAACGGCGACCGGGGGUGACCCUAGGGAAAGUGCCACAGAAACGAUACCGCCUCGUCAAAGAGUGUUCGCCAGGUGCAAGCUCGGUGGAUUACCGAGAGGUAAGGGUGAAAUGAGCGAGGUAAGAGCUCGCAGCACUAUAUGGUGACAUGUAGUGGAGGUAAACCCUGUCCGCUGCAAGGAGAACUACAGACAAUAGGUUGUUCGCCGUUUGUAGUCCACAAGAUCCGCUCGACUGUGUAGGCAACUGCAUGGCUAGAUAGAUGAUCGUCCUCGACAGAACCCGGCUUAUAGGCAGGCUGCCCAA
This 382-nucleotide RNase P RNA is filed under the name Candidatus Mycosynbacter amalyticus. RNAcentral describes it as "Bacterial RNase P class A". It matches the Rfam family "Bacterial RNase P class A". Rfam says of the family: Ribonuclease P (RNase P) is a ubiquitous endoribonuclease, found in archaea, bacteria and eukarya as well as chloroplasts and mitochondria. Lineage: Bacteria; Candidatus Saccharimonadota. The record is from Rfam by way of RNAcentral.